GGGCCAGUGGCGCAACGGAUAACGCGCCUGUCUACGGAUUAAAAGAUUCCAGGUUCGACACCUGGCUGGCUCG
This 73-nucleotide transfer RNA is filed under the name Trichonephila inaurata madagascariensis. RNAcentral describes it as "tRNA-Arg". It matches the Rfam family "tRNA". From Rfam's summary of the family: Transfer RNA (tRNA) molecules are approximately 80 nucleotides in length. Their secondary structure includes four short double-helical elements and three loops (D, anti-codon, and T loops). Further hydrogen bonds mediate the characteristic L-shaped molecular structure. tRNAs have two regions of fundamental functional importance: the anti-codon, which is responsible for specific mRNA codon recognition, and the 3' end, to which the tRNAs corresponding amino acid is attached (by aminoacyl-tRNA synthetases). tRNAs cope with the degeneracy of the genetic code in two manners: having more than one tRNA (with a specific anti-codon) for a particular amino acid; and 'wobble' base-pairing, i.e. permitting non-standard base-pairing at the 3rd anti-codon position. The record is from RNAcentral. Lineage: Eukaryota; Metazoa; Arthropoda; Arachnida; Araneae; Nephilidae.